Molecule: ribosomal RNA, 580 nt
Filed under: Saccharomyces cerevisiae (brewer's yeast)
Lineage: Eukaryota; Fungi; Ascomycota; Saccharomycetes; Saccharomycetales; Saccharomycetaceae
Description: partial large subunit ribosomal RNA
Rfam family: Eukaryotic large subunit ribosomal RNA
Source: RNAcentral
UGCCCUUAGUAACGGCGAGUGAAGCGGCAAAAGCUCAAAUUUGAAAUCUGGUACCUUCGGUGCCCGAGUUGUAAUUUGGAGAGGGCAACUUUGGGGCCGUUCCUUGUCUAUGUUCCUUGGAACAGGACGUCAUAGAGGGUGAGAAUCCCGUGUGGCGAGGAGUGCGGUUCUUUGUAAAGUGCCUUCGAAGAGUCGAGUUGUUUGGGAAUGCAGCUCUAAGUGGGUGGUAAAUUCCAUCUAAAGCUAAAUAUUGGCGAGAGACCGAUAGCGAACAAGUACAGUGAUGGAAAGAUGAAAAGAACUUUGAAAAGAGAGUGAAAAAGUACGUGAAAUUGUUGAAAGGGAAGGGCAUUUGAUCAGACAUGGUGUUUUGUGCCCUCUGCUCCUUGUGGGUAGGGGAAUCUCGCAUUUCACUGGGCCAGCAUCAGUUUUGGUGGCAGGAUAAAUCCAUAGGAAUGUAGCUUGCCUCGGUAAGUAUUAUAGCCUGUGGGAAUACUGCCAGCUGGGACUGAGGACUGCGACGUAAGUCAAGGAUGCUGGCAUAAUGGUUAUAUGCCGCCCGUCUUGAACCCCCGAAAAC